Molecule: long non-coding RNA, 666 nt
Filed under: Mus spretus (western wild mouse)
Lineage: Eukaryota; Metazoa; Chordata; Mammalia; Rodentia; Muridae
Description: lncRNA (ENSMSPG00010027362.1)
Source: RNAcentral
CACCAGGUUCAGAAGAUGGGCAGCUGAGGGCAGCCAUCCCUUAACCUGCAAGGAUUGUCCAGUGUUUACAGGGGGCAGGGGCAGCAGCCAUGCCAGAUUACUGCAUCCCUGGCACAGAGUAUACAGGAGGCACUAGCCUGUAACACCAGCGCUCAAGAUACACAGGAGUAUUUGUCUGAAAGUAUGUGUGUGUGACAUGUGUUUGUAAUGCCCAAGAAGUCUAGAAUUGUGUAUCAAAUUCCCUGAAAAUUGGAGUUUUAGACAUUUGCGAACAGACAUAUCAGUGCUGGAAAGAGACCUUGAGAUCCUCUGCAAGAACAGCAAGUGCUCUUAACCACUGAGCCAUCUGUCCAGCUCCAGGAAUGGAGCCAUUGGGGAUAUUGUGAUGACUCAGGCUGCACCCUCUGUACCUGUCACUCCUGGAGAGUCAGUAUCCAUUUCUUGCAAGUCUAGUAAGAGUCUUCUGCAUAGUAAUGGCAUCACUUAUUUGUAUUGGUAUCUGCAGAGGUCAGGCCAGUCUCCUCAGCUCCUGAUAUAUCGGAUAUCCAACCUUGCCUCAGGAGUCCCAGACAGGUUCAGUGGCAGUGGGUCAGGAACUGAUUUCACACUGAGAAUCAGCAGAGUGGAGGCUGAGGAUGUGGGUGUUUAUUACUGUAUGCAAGGUCU